CCACGUCUGCCUCUCUCGUCGUCCAGGUCGUCCUGUCUCUUGCCAGACAGAUACUUCUCGAGCUCCAAAAGCCGCCGCCGCCGCCGCCGCCACAUGCCUGAAUCCCAAUCCCGGCUCCACUCCGGAGCUGCCGCGCCCACCUUGCCAGCAAGCUCCCGCACCUCCAGCGACUGGCGCCCCUGCAGUGAACCUUCUGCUCCAGCGCGGCAGCGCCUGGCAAGCUCUUCCACGCCAGCAUCGGCGGAGCUGAUACACGAGGCGGAGGCGAGAGGACUGGGAGAGCGUGCGUGUCGGUUGACGCUGCUCCUGCUCCUGUUCGAGCAAGGUACUGAACAUUGUAAUUAUUGGCCUGAUGUGUUCUGUUCAUCCGUAAUCUGUAGGAUUUAUGUUUUAUUUAUGUUGAUUGAAUGAAUGAAAAAAAUCCACGCUUAUUAAUUUUUAUUGUAAUUGUAAUUGGACACGAAGAAGAAUGGGACAGUCUCUUUUCCGGAAAUAUGAGUCUAAAAGCAAAACAUGAUUGCAUCUUUUCAUUAGUUUUUCUUCGCUGGCCAUAAUUCUGUAAAGGAAACAUAUAGCAGGUAUAUAGUCUUCACAUAUAUCUAAGCAUUGCAGUUUAGCUGGUAGAAUCAUGAACCCACCAUUUAAUUUGGAAAAGUGCAGGGUAUAUAUGCCAAUAACAUGUAGAACAGGUGAUCGAUUAUACAAUUUACAAACUUGCAGUGAAAAAGAGCCUUUUUCAGGAUAGUAGUUCUCUGAGAUACAUUUAUCGUCAAAAUUUAUUUAUCGUUCUCUGGGAUAACCAGUUGAAAGGAGGUACUGAAAAUAUAUGACAUUUGAAUGCAACUGUGACCCAGCAGCUUUCACUCACUAUGAUGUGUGAGGUUCUUUGUCAGCAAUUAGGACUGUCCGAUCUCCUCAAUCCGCUGCGCGACAUCAGACAUUGUAGGCCUCGAGUCAGCAUCUUGACUGCAACAUUUUAGCCCGAGCUGCAUAAGUCGCACCAUGCACUCCUCUUUCCCGUCCUUCUGCCCCCGUGCUAGGAGCUCCACGUCGAAUACCUCUGCCCUCCACUCCUCAGGUGUAAUGGAACACACCCACCGUGGCAAAUCUACUCCCCCGUCAUCCUGAAAUCUCUUCUCCAGUGGAGACUUGCAGGUGAGAAGCUCCAGCAGUAGGAUGCCGAAGCUGUACACGUCAGAUUCCUGGGAGACCCACCUAUUGCGGGUGACCUCAGGUGCACGGUAACCGGGGGCAUUGGAAUACAUGCCAAGUGUUAUCAGGCCAUGCUCCGACACACAUGCGUCGUGGGUACCGGUGAGCAGGAUGUUGGAAGACUUGAUGUUGCCAUGGCAGCUCGUUGGUCCAGCUAAGUGGAUAGCCGCCACACCGCGCGCAGCAGCAAGUGAGAUGGCUGACCGCUGCUCCCAGUCCAAUGGAGCUGGGCCACAAAAACGAUCACCUAGAUUCACAUAUCAUGAAUUAGUGAUGCCUCAGAAACAUUAGAAAUUGUAAAGGCAAGCAUAUUAUAGCAUUGUACGCUAUAUACAUUACCGUGGAGUGCUUUUGCUAGGCUACCCAUGGGGAUGAUAUUAUAUACGAGCAGCUUCUCAUCCUUGCUGCAGUAAUACCACAGCAGUGGUGCUACGUGUUUGUUCUGGAUGGUGCCAAACAGCAUGACAAGCCGCCCAAAGAUCGCCUCCCCCAAGUCCACAUCUUUCAACCUCUUGACCACCAGCUCAUAUCCACUAUCAAGUGUUGCUCUGUAUGUUGUCCCGACUGUACCCUUGCCCAGAACUUCAGUCGAUGCCCCAAUCAGGUCUUUCAGGUCGAACAAUUGGCCUGUCAUUGCCGACCCAAUGAUAGAAGUUCCCACAUUUUGUAUACUUAAAUGUGAUAGCGCUUUGGCUGGAGCCACAAUUCCUGUUUUUGGGGUACUGCCACUGCUUUCUUGUGAAGACAUGCUUAAAUGCGAUAGCGCUUUGGCUGGAGCCACAAUUCCCGUUUUUGGGGUACUGCCACUCCUUUCUUGUGAUGGCGUCUUUUCAGCUGGAGCUACAAUUCUCACGUUUUGGCUACUGCUACUGCUUUCCAGAGAUGGUGUUUUGGCUGGAGCUAGUUUACUUUCUCUUCCGAUCUCUUCGAUCUGUUGCACAACUUUAGGCAUUGUAGGCCGCGAGUUGGCAUCUUGACUGCAACAGUUUAUGGCCAGCUGCAGAAGUCGCACCAUGCACUCCUCUUCCCCAUCCUUCUGAUCUCGCCCGAUGAGCUCCACAUCGAACACCUCCGCCGUCCACUCCUCGCGUACAACGGAACACACCCACCGUGGCAAAUCAACUCCCUCCUGAUCCUUUCUGCUAUUUGUUGGAGCCUUGCGGGUGAGAAGCUCCAGUAGUAGGACGCCGAAGCUGUACACGUCGGCUUUCUGAGAGACCCGCCUAUUGUUGAUGAGCUCAGGCGCGCGGUAGCCCGAGACACUAGAAGACAUGCCAAGUGCUAUGAGGCCAUGCUCUGACACACAUGCAUCGUGGGUGCCGGUGAGCAGGAUGUUGGAAGACUUGAUGUUGCCAUGACAGCUUGAUGGUCCAGCUAAAUGGAUAUACUCCACACCACGCGCAGCAGCAAGUGAGAUGGCCGACCGCUGCUCCCAGUCCAGUGGAGCUGGGCUAGAACCUUGGUCACCUAGAUUUACACAUCAUGAAUUAGUGAUGCAUCAAACACUUUAGGAAGUUUAAAGGCAACCAUUUGAUAGCAUUAUACAGUAUAUAAAUUACCAUAGAGCACUUUUGCUAGGCUACCCAUGAGGAUGACAUCAUACACUACCAUCUUCUCAUCCUUGCUAUAGUAAUACCACCGCAGUGGCACAACGUGCUUGUUCUGGAUGGCGCCAAUCUGCGUGACGUGCUGCUCAAACUCUGCCUUCGGCAAGACCACAUCCUUCAGCCUCUUGACCACCAGCUCAUAUCCACUAUCAAGCGUCGCUUUGUAUGUUGUUCCGACUGUACCCUUGCCCAGAACUUCAGCCGAUGCCUGAAGCAGGUCCUCCAGCUCAAAUGAUUGGCCUGUCAGCGUCGAACUAAUGAUAAAAGUUCCAACAUUUUGGCUACUGCUUUUCUGUAAAAGUGCCGUUGUGGGGUUAAUAUCAUUGCUUUCUUGUGAUGGUGUCAUUUUCACUGGAGCCACAGUUCUCAUGUUCUGACUACGGCUACUGCUUUCGAGCGAUGGUGUUUCAGCUGGAUCUUGUUUAUUUUUCCUUAUCCAAGAAAAUAGAGCAAGUCUCUCUUGUACCUGAUGUGGAGCUUUUUUAAGUUUGCGAAGACGUUCUGCAACUUCUAACAUCGCAGGACGUUUGGUAAGUUCCAUCUUCAAGCAUUUACCUGCCAACUUAGCAAUCUCUUCAAUAGUCUUCAUGUCGCUCGAUGUCACAAUUUCAGGAUCAAACAUCUCCCUCACCCUCCUAAUCCCUUUUGAAAGAGAUUGACUAAAACUUUCUACCAAGCCAAUCUUCCCGUCCUCCGUUCUUGCUUUUUUUCUGGUUAUCAGUUCCAGGAGCACAACUCCAAAACUAUAAACAUCACUCUUCGCUGUGAGGCGGCCACUCUGAGUAAACAGAGGGUCCAUGUAGCCUAUACUUCCUAUCACAUUUAGAGUAUAUAGAGUAUUUUCAGUGUUGACUAGCCUUGAUAUUCCAAAGUCUGAUAUUUUUGCACUGAGUCCAUCAUCCAGAAGUAUAUUAGCAGGCUUGAUAUCACCAUGAAUGACCUGGGUAUACAUUUGUGAGUGCAUAUAGGCCAAUGCUUCAGCACAUUCAAUGGCAAUUCUUAGCCGUAUAUCCAAAGCGAUGGGAAUAUUAUCAUGGUGAAGAAUGUUACUCAGAUUUCCUUUAGGAAUAUAUUCCGUGACCACCAUUAGGGCAUUUUCAUCUACACAGUAGCCAACUAAUCUGACUACAUUCUUGUGAUUGAUUUCACGGUGGACAAUCAACUCUUUGGCAAAAUUUUCUUUUACAUUGUAGAUAAACUUUUUGACUGCAACCAUACUUUUGUCCUCAAGGACUCCUUCAUAAACUUCUCCAAAACCACCUCUACCAAGCAUAGUUUCAUAGUUGUUGGUAAAUCUCCUUAUCUCAGCUUCUGUAAAACAUGUCACAUUAUGAUUGCUACGUGCAACCCAUUUAGAUCUAUGCUCUUCCUGGAUAAGUUGGGUUACUAUAUUUCCUGGAUGAUCCAUCUUUGGAAGUAGCAGGGAACUUACUCAAUGUCGACGUAGAAAACAGUUUUGGUAGUGCUAAAAGUCAAAUUUAAUCCAACAUGUAAAUGAGGAAACAAAUAAACAAAGUACGUAAGAGUGCUUUCCUCGGAUUAAUCAUCAAUGAAUUAGUAAGGUUUAUUUUUUGAAACGAUAGUUAGUAUGGAUUUUUUUUAAACGAGAAUUAGUAGGGAUUUCAUAUGUCCAUUUGGACAACACGUAUAGAUGCUGUUUGUACUCAUUAGAGUUCGUUUAGAGACAACAGAUAUAGAUGCUCUUUUUACUCAUUAGAGUUCGUUUGGAGACAACACAUAUAGAUGCUGUUUGUACUCAUUAGAGUUCGUUUAGAAACAAACCAUACAUCUCCUCUAGCUGCUGAAUAUAACCAAUAUUUUUUUCUGCGAGUAAAAUAUAACCAGUCUAGAUUGCUAUUUUACUAUUUUAGUUAUUUACACAACACGGCAGAGAAUCAUUUGUGUUUGUUCAUGGACCACAUCGCUAGAGGAAGUAGAACCUAGGAGAGAGUGUAAUUAAUAUUUAUUGUUGAGUUCUGCCAUGGAUUUUGAAUGACAAUUUCAUGGCAAGAUCUGGGUCGUUUUACAUGUUUGUUUCCUUGCAGGCGAAACAAAGAUGUGAAGAGAUUGAAAUCUAAAGUGCUAAAAAUUGUGGUGAAGACAUGGAGAUGGCCAUAUGUUGAACUAAAACAUACCUCUUAAGAUGGACGUCGUAACAUAACACGAUCAAUCGAGCCUUCUUUUGUUGGUGGUCGCACAGAUCGCCAUGGAAUGGAUCUAGAAGAAAGAACUGAUGGUGUGUAGCCUUCUUUCAUGAAUUGCCAUCAUCGAUGGUCAACUACCAGAACACGAAGGGGGUGGCCUUAUCCUGCUUAAUGACAACUGCUACCAAAUUAAAUAAAGAUGAUCAUGCCAAACAAGUUAUGUAAGAGCGUCCCAAUCCAAAGAUUGCACUAGAAAACAAAAAUUCAAUUUAGAUACCACAAUAUGUGUGGACUUUGGACUUUGGACUUUGGGACAACUAG
Molecule: long non-coding RNA, 5284 nt
Filed under: Triticum aestivum (bread wheat)
Lineage: Eukaryota; Viridiplantae; Streptophyta; Magnoliopsida; Poales; Poaceae
Description: long non-coding RNA (TAES_LNC023209)
Source: RNAcentral